This 369-nucleotide ribosomal RNA is filed under the name uncultured bacterium. RNAcentral describes it as "bacterial SSU rRNA". It matches the Rfam family "Bacterial small subunit ribosomal RNA", at positions 8 to 353 of the family's 1533-position model. The record is from RNAcentral.
AGAGUUUGAUCCUGGCUCAGGACGAACGCUGGCGGCGUGCUUAACACAUGCAAGUCGAACGAGAAUUAAUAAGAAGCUUGCUUCUUAUAAUUCGAGUGGCAAACGGGUGAGUAACGCGUAAGCAACCUGCCCUUCAGAUGGGGACAACAGCUGGAAACGGCUGCUAAUACCGAAUACGUUCUUUUUGUCGCAUGGCAGAGGGAAGAAAGGGAGGCUCUUCGGAGCUUUCGCUGAAGGAGGGGCUUGCGUCUGAUUAGCUAGUUGGAGGGGUAACGGCCCACCAAGGGCGACGAUCAGUAGCCGGUCUGAGGAGGAUGAACGGCCACCAUUGGGACUGAGACACGGCCCAGACUCCUACGGGAGGCUGCA